RNAcentral lists this ribosomal RNA (974 nucleotides) under Escherichia coli. Its description in RNAcentral is "partial 23S ribosomal RNA". It matches the Rfam family "Bacterial large subunit ribosomal RNA", at positions 165 to 1179 of the family's 2925-position model. Lineage: Bacteria; Pseudomonadati; Pseudomonadota; Gammaproteobacteria; Enterobacterales; Enterobacteriaceae. The record is from RNAcentral.
CAUAGGUUAAUGAGGCGAACCGGGGGAACUGAAACAUCUAAGUACCCCGAGGAAAAGAAAUCAACCGAGAUUCCCCCAGUAGCGGCGAGCGAACGGGGAGGAGCCCAGAGCCUGAAUCAGUGUGUGUGUUAGUGGAAGCGUCUGGAAAGGCGCGCGAUACAGGGUGACAGCCCCGUACACAAAAAUGCACAUACUGUGAGCUCGAUGAGUAGGGCGGGACACGUGGUAUCCUGUCUGAAUAUGGGGGGACCAUCCUCCAAGGCUAAAUACUCCUGACUGACCGAUAGUGAACCAGUACCGUGAGGGAAAGGCGAAAAGAACCCCGGCGAGGGGAGUGAAAAAGAACCUGAAACCGUGUACGUACAAGCAGUGGGAGCCUCUUAAUGGGGUGACUGCGUACCUUUUGUAUAAUGGGUCAGCGACUUAUAUUCUGUAGCAAGGUUAACCGAAUAGGGGAGCCGAAGGGAAACCGAGUCUUAACUGGGCGUUAAGUUGCAGGGUAUAGACCCGAAACCCGGUGAUCUAGCCAUGGGCAGGUUGAAGGUUGGGUAACACUAACUGGAGGACCGAACCGACUAAUGUUGAAAAAUUAGCGGAUGACUUGUGGCUGGGGGUGAAAGGCCAAUCAAACCGGGAGAUAGCUGGUUCUCCCCGAAAGCUAUUUAGGUAGCGCCUCGUGAAUUCAUCUCCGGGGGUAGAGCACUGUUUCGGCAAGGGGGUCAUCCCGACUUACCAACCCGAUGCAAACUGCGAAUACCGGAGAAUGUUAUCACGGGAGACACACGGCGGGUGCUAACGUCCGUCGUGAAGAGGGAAACAACCCAGACCGCCAGCUAAGGUCCCAAAGUCAUGGUUAAGUGGGAAACGAUGUGGGAAGGCCCAGACAGCCAGGAUGUUGGCUUAGAAGCAGCCAUCAUUUAAAGAAAGCGUAAUAGCUCACUGGUCGAGUCGGCCUGCGCGGAAGAUGUAACGGG